AUUUGGGGUGUGAUAAUUUUGGGGUUCCCAGUUUGGGGUGUGAUAAUUUGGGGUGUGAUAAUUUUUGGGUGUGACAAUUUUGGGGUGUGAUAAUUUUUGGGGUGUGAUAAUUUUGGGGUGUGACAAUUUUGGGGUGUGACAAUUUUGGGGUGUGAUAAUUUUUGGGGUUCCCAGUGCGGGGUGCAGAACUUCAAGCGACGCGAGAAAUGUUUCAAAUGCGGCGUCCCCAAAGCCGAGGCCGAGCAGAGGGGUCCGGGGGGUCCCCGUCCGGAGCUGGUGCCGGGGGGGGGAGGGGGGCUCCUGCCCCUCCCCCAACCCUACGGCCCCACCCUUGGGGGGCCCCCAGGGGGGUCCCAGGGGGGCACCGAGCCCGGAGCUGACAACGCCAACGACAGUGAGUGAGGAUUUGGGGGGAUUUUGGGGGAUUUGAGGGAAAUUCAGGAAGUUUUUGGGAAAUUUUGGGGAUUUUUAGGGAGGAAAAUUUAAUUUUUAUAUUUUUGGGAUUUUUUUUUUUGUGGGGUUUUUUGGGAUUUUUUGGGAUUUUUGAGAUGGGUUGAGAAGUCCUGGGAUGGAUUUGGGGGGAGACUCAGGUGUCCCCAGGUGUCCCCAGCUGUCCCCAGGUGUCUCAGGUGUGUCCCCAGGUGUGUCCCAGGUGUGUCCCCAGGUGUCCCCAGGUGUACCCAGGUGUGUCCAGGUAUGUCGCCAGGUGUCCCCAGGUGUGCCCCCAGCUGCCCCCAGCUGCCCCCAGGUGUCCCCAGCUGUCCCCAGCUGUCCCCAGCUGUCCCCAGCUGUCCCCAGGUGUCCCCAGGUGUUCCCAGGUGUCCCCAGGUGUUCCCAGGUGUGCCCAGGUGUGUCCAGGUAUGUCGCCAG
Molecule: long non-coding RNA, 870 nt
Filed under: Cyanistes caeruleus (blue tit)
Lineage: Eukaryota; Metazoa; Chordata; Aves; Passeriformes; Paridae
Description: lncRNA (ENSCCEG00000002926.1)
Source: RNAcentral